GUGGGGAAUAUUGGACAAUGGGGGGAACCCUGAUCCAGCCAUGCCGCGUGUGUGAAGAAGGCCUUUUGGUUGUAAAGCACUUUAAGCGAGGAGGAGGCUACCGAGAUUAAUACUCUUGGAUAGUGGACGUUACUCGCAGAAUAAGCACCGGCUAACUCUGUGCCAGCAGCCGCGGUAAUACAGAGGGUGCAAGCGUUAAUCGGAUUUACUGGGCGUAAAGCGCGCGUAGGUGGCCAAUUAAGUCAAAUGUGAAAUCCCCGAGCUUAACUUGGGAAUUGCAUUCGAUACUGGUUGGCUAGAGUAUGGGAGAGGAUGGUAGAAUUCCGGGUGUAGCGGUGAAAUGCGUAGAGAUCUGGAGGAAUACCGAUGGCGAAGGCAGCCAUCUGGCCUAAUACUGACACUGAGGUGCGAAAGCAUGGGGAGCAAACAGGAUUAGAUACCCGGGUAGUCC
RNAcentral lists this ribosomal RNA (451 nucleotides) under uncultured bacterium. RNAcentral describes it as "partial 16S ribosomal RNA". It matches the Rfam family "Bacterial small subunit ribosomal RNA", at positions 354 to 796 of the family's 1533-position model. The record is from RNAcentral.